This 401-nucleotide ribosomal RNA is filed under the name uncultured bacterium. Its description in RNAcentral is "bacterial SSU rRNA". It matches the Rfam family "Bacterial small subunit ribosomal RNA", at positions 358 to 776 of the family's 1533-position model. The record is from RNAcentral.
GGAAUAUUGGACAAUGGGCGAAAGCCUGAUCCAGCAAUGCCGCGUGAGUGAUGAAGGCCUUAGGGUUGUAAAGCUCUUUUACCAGGGAUGAUAAUGACAGUACCUGGAGAAUAAGCUCCGGCUAACUCCGUGCUAGCAGCCGCGGUAAUACGGAGGGAGCUAGCGUUGUUCGGAAUUACUGGGCGUAAAGCGCACGUAGGCGGCUAUUCAAGUCAGAGGUGAAAGCCCGGGGCUCAACCUCGGAACUGCCUUUGAAACUAGAUAGCUUGAAUCUUGGAGAGGCGAGUGGAAUUCCGAGUGUAGAGGUGAAAUUCGUAGAUAUUCGGAAGAACACCAGUGGCGAAGGCGACUCGCUGGACAAGUAUUGACGCUGAGGUGCGAAAGCGUGGGGAGCAAACAGG